GCAGCCGCCGCAAUCAGUAACCCUUCCUCCAUUGCACUGUUGUAUCUUCUUCUUCAUCAGCCGCGAUUUCUGUAAACUUGAUUUUACAUGAACCCUAAGAUCUUUAACAUCUAAACUAGUCACAAAAUAGAACUUCAAAGAGGAUUAUCGGAAUACCUCGAUUGAUCGUUGCAGAAAUCUUCUUGAACGGUUUUGGUUUUGGAAGAUGAGUUUUUGAUCUCUAAGUUGGAACUUGAUCUUCUCUCCCCUUGCCUAAAACCUUUCUUUAUGUGUUUCCUUAGGAUUUUCUUUCAU
RNAcentral lists this long non-coding RNA (294 nucleotides) under Brassica napus (rape). Its description in RNAcentral is "long non-coding RNA (BNAP_LNC020252)". Lineage: Eukaryota; Viridiplantae; Streptophyta; Magnoliopsida; Brassicales; Brassicaceae. The record is from RNAcentral.